UACGGGAUAAUAUAUUUGAGAGGCAUCUCUUAAAUAUCAAAGGUGAGCCAGUACAGGAUGGACCCGCGUCUGAUUAGCUAGUUGGUAAGGUAACGGCUUACCAAGGCGACGAUCAGUAGCCGACCUGAGAGGGUGAUCGGCCACAUUGGAACUGAGACACGGUCCAAACUCCUACGGGAGGAAGCAGUGGGGAAUAUUGCACAAUGGGCGAAAGCCUGAUGCAGCAACGCCGCGUGAGUGAUGAAGGCCUUCGGGUCGUAAAACUCUGUCCUCAAGGAAGAUAAUGACGGUACUUGAGGAGGAAGCCCCGGCUAACUACGUGCCAGCAGCCGCGGUAAUACGUAGGGGGCUAGCGUUAUCCGGAUUUACU
Molecule: ribosomal RNA, 370 nt
Filed under: Clostridioides difficile
Lineage: Bacteria; Bacillati; Bacillota; Clostridia; Peptostreptococcales; Peptostreptococcaceae
Description: bacterial SSU rRNA
Rfam family: Bacterial small subunit ribosomal RNA
Source: RNAcentral